UACAGAGGUCCCAAGCGUUGUUCGGAUUCAUUGGGCGUAAAGGGUGCGUAGGUGGCGCCGUAAGUCGGGUGUGAAAUUUCGGAGCUUAACUCCGAAACUGCAUUCGAUACUGCGGUGCUUGAGGACUGGAGAGGAGACUGGAAUUCAUGGUGUAGCAGUGAAAUGCGUAGAGAUCAUGAGGAAGACCAGUGGCGAAGGCGGGUCUCUGGACAGUUCCUGACGCUGAGGCGCGAAAGCGUGGGGAGCAAACGGG
Molecule: ribosomal RNA, 253 nt
Filed under: uncultured bacterium
Lineage: Bacteria
Description: partial 16S ribosomal RNA
Rfam family: Bacterial small subunit ribosomal RNA
Source: RNAcentral